CAGCAGAUCGAGGGAUGUGAUCAUUCCCCUCUAUUCGAUAUUGGUGAGGCCUCAUCUGGAGUACAGUGUCCGGUGUUGGGCCCCACACUAACAGAAGGAUGUGGCAAAAUUGGAAAGAGUCCAG
Molecule: non-coding RNA, 124 nt
Organism: Chelonoidis abingdonii (Abingdon island giant tortoise)
Lineage: Eukaryota; Metazoa; Chordata; Testudines; Testudinidae
Source: RefSeq, a predicted model, not a curated record